Zonotrichia leucophrys gambelii is the source of this 4071-nucleotide long non-coding RNA. RefSeq lists it as uncharacterized. Lineage: Eukaryota; Metazoa; Chordata; Aves; Passeriformes; Passerellidae. The record is from RefSeq and is a predicted model, not a curated record. The transcript has 3 exons.
AGAAGCCAAGUCACACAGGGCAUGAGCAGCUUCAGAAAUAACCACCAUUCAGGUUUGUUUACUGCAAGGAGCUCUCGAAGGAAACCAUCAAAUUAAGGAAAAUAAAGUUGAGAUGCUGGAGUGGAGCACAGACAAGCAACAGGGAGAUGAGAUUUUCAUCACUGCAAUGUCUUCUACAGGUUUUCCUUUGCCUCUGUACCUGCAGGAAGAAAAUCUCUUGGCAAGCAUCGGGUUAUGGACUUUGUUUCCAUUUGGACCAUUCUGCUUCCUGCUGAAAAUGAGCAACUGACUGCACUGGAAACUUUCUGCAAUUUGCUCAGGUUCAUAAUUUUCAAGGAGAGAGAAGAUUUUAAAGAUGUGAAAUAACUAUUUGUGGGUCUCUAAGUUUACUUGAGUGUCUGAAGUUAUUCCAUAAUAUACCAGUGGGGUAUCAUGCUGAUUCAUAUUUCUGCAUUCUCUGUGUUCAGUCUCAUAGAGUGCCUUGUUAGGAGCAAGAGCAGGAGAAAGGACAAGCAUUCAGACAGGUUUCCCUGAAUAAUGCUCAUGGUUCAUCCUUUGGAUUCAAGCAGUUGGCUUAAAAAAAAAUAGGUUUUUUAGAGAGAAGGAAAAACUGAAUGCAGCGGGAGUGUCUUCCAUACAUACUCCUGAAGGCCGAUAAAAUCUAAUCUUCUUGAACACAAAAAAACCAAAUAGUAGGAGAUCCCUCCUUUGCCUAUGCUUCCAGCCCACAUCUUGAACUCUGACUAACAGCUUGGAUGCCUGCUGGAUUCUGAGCAACAGAACCUGCCCCGUGUGACACCCAGUGUUUUCUCAGAAGUUAUUCUCCUCACUGUUAGUGGUCUUCAAUAGAAAACCUCUCAAAACAAAAGUAGGCAAAAAAUGCACCCAUCAGAAAUUGUGUGUGUUUGGUCCUGGAGCAGAAGAUCAGGAACAAAAGUUGGUUGAGCUUUUUACCUCUGACUUGACAGGGAAAAAUUAGAGGGCAUAUCAGAGAAAGCAGAGAUUAAUGAAGGAUUCCUAGAACAGUAGAGGACUUUAGAAACUCUUUUUAGGGGAACAGCACUAGUUCUUAAAAGAAAGGAAUGGCUCUGCUGCCAAGUGUUUCAGAGCAUUAAUUAUCCAUUUUUGCCAAGAGUUUGGAAACAGAACCAUGGAACAGUUUGGGUUGGAGAGACCUUUAAAGGUCAUGUAGUCCAAGCCCCCCACUGUAAGCAGAGACAUCUGUAAUUCCAACAGGUUGUUCAGACUCCUGUCCAAAUUCUCCCUUAACAUUUCCAGGGAUGAGGCUUCUGCCACUGCCAGAGACUCAGCUCUGGUAAAUCACUUGGGAAUCCUCUCACUCGCCUCAGCUCCUAUCCAGACCAGAUCUCAACAGAGAUUUUAAAAGAUUUCUUCAGAAAAGCAUCAGAAACAGUUUCAAUUCAGUGCUGGGAAAUGAGACACUCGGCACUAACAGAUUUAAUAUUCAUCUUGUCACAUACUAGGUUGCCCUACUGAUCUUUGAGCUGCUCACACAAAAAGCAUCCUAUCGAGUUUCUGCUGAAAUAUCUUGAAUGCUCAGCAGCACAACCAUGCAGAGGAAUAUACAUAACAGGAAAUUAUUUUUUCUCCAAAAUUUUGAUGCACUGUUUACAGAUAAAAUGGCAAAAUACAGUAAAUAUAUACCUAUGCACAUUCGAUUGUAUACUUAUAAAAAUAUUCAUCUUAUAAACACUUUAUUUGAAAUUUCUGAUUAUUAAAACAUAAAUUAAAUUUUGUUAUCUAUGUGUACUCAACUUUGUUAGAAAUGCUAUUAAAGCUUCAGGCUGUUUAAACAAUAAUACUCUGGAUAUCUAAAAAGCCUUCCAGGCUUCAUGAGGGCUUUUUUCAGGCUCUUCAUAGACAUUAAUUAAAGCUGUGAGAAACUCUGGGUUCUUGGUACUAUUUACACCUGUUUAAUACUGCCUCACGUGCUACAUCUUAGGUCAAACAGCAAAUCAGUAACAAAACCAGUGUCAGAACUGGAGUAUCAGAACUCCUGAGACCUGCCAGAGCUAUUGGACAUUGUCUUCCACCAGACUACACUAUCAGUUAUAGAAAAUAACUUUUGAUUGCUCAGAGAACCAUCCGAGUACAGUUACUAUUAACACUUAUCACAAAAAGCUGUGUAAGCAGACUGAAGGAAACUCCCCCCAAACUUGUAAAUGUGCUAUUGACAGGCAAUUUCAUUAAAUCUGGUUUCACUUUAUUUGGGUUAUAUAUUCCAUUUCAUAAAAACCUUAUCGUAAAGAUCUAAAUCUGUGAAGAAAGACAUUAAGCAAUUCUUUAUUAUCUCUGCUGGUCCAUUAAAAUAAAUCUCAUCUAUCCCUUCCCCUAUUAUUUCAGGGAGUGCAAGGGCUGAUGUAUUUUGGCAUAAUUGCUUUGGCAUCCCAGGUUUGUUCUGUCACUGCUGUUGUGCAAGUGCAUUUGAAGGAGUAAUCAUCUUUUUUCUGUAUGGCCCAUCACCAUGGUGUAUAAGCAAUAUACAGGCUGCAGAUUUUGUAAUAGGUAAAGUUUUCAAAAAUUUUAUUGGCAAUUUUUUUGAUAAAGACACAUGUCAGACUGCACCCAGCUUAUUCAUACACUGUAAGGAGUUCUCUGGCUUCCUAAUUUAUUAACAAUGGUCAUUUGUUACACUGACAACUUAGAAAAACAGAUCACUCAGAAGUCAUGAUGGGGUAAUUCUGCUUCUUGGAGCCUCUGCAAUGAAUCACCAUUUUCCCUCCCUCCCUUGACCUAAUUUCAAAAUCAUAUACCUGUGUAAAAUAUUGUGAUGAGAAUUGUGUCUAAUUAUCUUCUAAAUUUUUCUUUUAAUUGCUAGAAGGAUACCCAUUCUUGAAUAAGGGAGGUAUUAAUGAUGUAAUAGUGUUAGAGAGUCCUUGAAAUCUAGAUUAAUUAUUAGUUGUGUGGACUUCUGAGAGUUUUUGAUGUAUUCAUUUGCAUUCACAAAGAUGGCUUUUUAAUUAAAGAGAGUUUUUGAACUUAUACAAAUGAGCCUUUUGCACAUGUCCCCAGAAACGUGGAAAGUGUUAAAAGUGAGAAGAAUCGAAAUUUUCCUGAAACAUUACCUCCCGCUGCAAACACUGAAUGGCCAAAAGCAUUUGAAACUCCAGACCUCAUGUCAGCAGCUCCAGCAGAUCUCGAAGACCAAGCAGAAUUAUAAAAGCCUGAGCUUGUUUCAAAUACCACAGAAAUGGUUCUGUACAAAAGAACAAUGUCAGAAUAUCUGAUUUCCAUUUCAGCUUCCACCGCAGCAUAUGUUUCUACCUUUACCUGCAUGCUUAUUUUUUCCUCUUUAGAAAUUAGAUCCUCUUUCCCAAGGACUCCAAUGUUAAAUGUUUCCUCAUUGUAACUCUUAUGAUCCCUUGUUGCCACCUCAGACUUCUGGUUUUUCUUUCUUUUUCUUUGUUCGAGAUCAAGAGAACAAACCGAAAGCUCUGAGUCUCCAGGUCUGUUUCACAGAUUUAUAAAUGGUACCAUAUUUCCUGUAUUACAGCCAUUCAGUUCUUAAUGCAGCCUAACAUCUAAUUUACAAUUUUGACUGUUGCUACGUAUUGAAUUUGAGCAGAUGUCUUUACUGAGCUGUCCAUAGUGAUGCCUAAAUCAUUUUCCGAGAAGUUCACAGCAAAUUUGGAUUCCAGAGAAGUGAAUACAUAGUUUAAUUUGUACCUUUUAAAGUAAAUUAUUUUGUAAAGAAGUGGAUCUCAUGUUACAGAAUACUGUCUGAUUUCCUCAUUUUUGUGAGAUAUACCCAGAGCCACUCAUUCACCUCUGCCAAGGCUGGCUGCCUAAUUUCAGUUUUCAGCAUGAGCAUAAUACCAGCCCCUUAUCACAAUUGUGGUUCUAGUCCAGAACUGGGACUUUAAACCUCCUCCACGGUCCUGUCUCUUCCACAGUUCCCACUCACACACAAAACUGCAAUCCAGACUUACAGGUGUCCUUAUUUUGGUCUUGUGAUGACUUUUUAAAUCUGUAUCACGAAUAUCCACUGAUCUUCCCACAUCUCCUCUUGUUUAAGUCUUUGUAAGGGGGAAUAAAACAGAUUUAUUUGAA